Molecule: non-coding RNA, 216 nt
Organism: Pocillopora verrucosa
Lineage: Eukaryota; Metazoa; Cnidaria; Anthozoa; Scleractinia; Pocilloporidae
Source: RefSeq, a predicted model, not a curated record
AGGGGAGAAAAAAAGGGUGAACAUUGGUUCGGAGUUAAUAACAAAUCCUUCCUUGAUUUACCUGGAUUGAGGAGGCAUUGGAAGAUAAACUAACUGAAUGACCCCCCUGAACUCUAGUCAUAUUCACUGGCACACCAAGAGUUCUUUCCAGGACCAUUUGUACCACACAAUCAACAAAACACUGUGGGUCUAGAAGAUAUGCAAACUGCAUUAAGC